RNAcentral lists this ribosomal RNA (237 nucleotides) under uncultured bacterium. RNAcentral describes it as "partial 16S ribosomal RNA". It matches the Rfam family "Bacterial small subunit ribosomal RNA", at positions 100 to 334 of the family's 1533-position model. The record is from RNAcentral.
CCGGCACGGGUGAGUAACACGUAUCCAACCUGCCGUCUACUCUUGGACAGCCUUCUGAAAGGAAGAUUAAUACAAGAUGGCAUCAUGAGUUCACAUGUUCACAUGAUUAAAGGUAUUCCGGUAGACGAUGGGGAUGCGUUCCAUUAGAUAGUAGGCGGGGUAACGGCCCGCCUAGUCUUCGAUGGAUAGGGGUUCUGAGAGGAAGGUCCCCCACAUUGGAACUGAGACACGGUCCAA